This 1077-nucleotide ribosomal RNA is filed under the name Bacillus subtilis. RNAcentral's name for it is "partial 16S ribosomal RNA". It matches the Rfam family "Bacterial small subunit ribosomal RNA", at positions 312 to 1361 of the family's 1533-position model. The record is from RNAcentral. Lineage: Bacteria; Bacillati; Bacillota; Bacilli; Caryophanales; Bacillaceae.
CMUGGUMAKARACGGCCAGACUCCUACGGGAGGCAGCAGUAGGGAAUCUUCCGCAAUGGACGAAAGUCUGACGGAGCAMCGCCGCGUGAGUGAUGAAGGUUUUCGGAUCGUAAAGCUCUGUUGUUAGGGAAGAACAAGUACCGUUCGAAUAGGGCGGUACCUUGACGGUACCUAACCAGAAAGCCACGGCUAACUACGUGCCAGCAGCCGCGGUAAUACGUAGGUGGCAAGCGUUGUCCGGAAUUAUUGGGCGUAAAGGGCUCGCAGGCGGUUUCUUAAGUCUGAUGUGAAAGCCCCCGGCUCAACCGGGGAGGGUCAUUGGAAACUGGGGAACUUGAGUGCAGAAGAGGAGAGUGGAAUUCCACGUGUAGCGGUGAAAUGCGUAGAGAUGUGGAGGAACACCAGUGGCGAAGGCGACUCUCUGGUCUGUAACUGACGCUGAGGAGCGAAAGCGUGGGGAGCGAACAGGAUUAGAUACCCUGGUAGUCCACGCCGUAAACGAUGAGUGCUAAGUGUUAGGGGGUUUCCGCCCCUUAGUGCUGCAGCUAACGCAUUAAGCACUCCGCCUGGGGAGUACGGUCGCAAGACUGAAACUCAAAGGAAUUGACGGGGGCCCGCACAAGCGGUGGAGCAUGUGGUUUAAUUCGAAGCAACGCGAAGAACCUUACCAGGUCUUGACAUCCUCUGACAAUCCUAGAGAUAGGACGUCCCCUUCGGGGGCAGAGUGACAGGUGGUGCAUGGUUGUCGUCAGCUCGUGUCGUGAGAUGUUGGGUUAAGUCCCGCAACGAGCGCAACCCUUGAUCUUAGUUGCCAGCAUUCAGUUGGGCACUCUARGGUGACUGCCGGUGACAAACCGGAGGARGGUGGGGGAUGACGUCAAAUCAUCAUGCCCCUUAUGACCUGGGCUACACACGUGCUACAAUGGGACAGAACAAAGGGGCAGCGAAACCGCGAGGUURRAGCCCAAUCCCMACAAAAUCUGUUUCUCAGUUCRGGAUCGCMAGUGCUGCAACUCGACUGCAUGAAGGCUGGAGUCRCUAGUAAUUSCRCAGAGARRUCCARRRAYWYAGMGAGAA